CGUCGAAACUGUCGGAUGGAUAUUCUCGUUAACCUUAAAGGGGAAUUUACAGCAUCUGUCAUAGAUUGUGCAAGUGCUUGGUGUAUAGAUUAUUGCAGUGGUUUUCUCUUGAGCUUGCCCUGUGUGGUUCUUUUUUGGUUUAUUUUAUUAACGCUGCUACUACGUAAACAGUCCAGUGAUAUAGUUCCCCCCUGCGUUUUUAGGUUCACUGUUCUUAUGGCGUCGCGCUGUUUGAAACCGAGGUUAGGGUUCUUCCACGAUUAAACCAGUUUAUGACAAUAAAAAACAAGAAGCUGAAAUAUUGUAGGUGUUGUAUAAAGUGACACAACAAGGUCAAAGCACUUCUCGUCUUCCCCUCUUCUGUUUGAUUCCACAUUCCUUUCCGCAAUAAAACAAGCACUGGUCGUACUGCUUAGUCACUAAGCCUUAGUGGUAGACUCUUCACUGUAUUUAAGUUUGUAAAUGCGCCGAAGAUAGAUUCGAAAUCGUCGUCCCAUUUAUACCACAUCUCGAGUAUACGUGUGACGUCAGUAUAUGAGUGUUGGCGUGACGGCAAGAUGCAGACAACGGAAGAAUUGGCCCCAGUGACUCUUGGGUUAGCCUAUUGCGUACAUCCACUCGCAUCUUUUUAAAGCCCGUGAGUAGGGGAGACCGGUGGCCUGUACUGCGAAGCGGAGUUACUGGCUUAUCGGGGUAACGUCGGAUUUAAGGUACCACAGUUUAAAUUGACUUAAUAUUCGUUCACUUAAAUUUUGCGCAGACUCCCUUAAAUCCAACAAGUUACCCCGAUAAGCCAGUAACCCCGCUUCGUAGUACAGGCGCUGGCGAUGAUUGUAACAUGGGUUAGUUGUGACAAAGUCUAUUUCUCAAAUCUUGAACGAGUUACAGAUCACGUAAGUCACUCGGCACAUGUCCAGUUUAGUGUUUAUUUUACAUGUGAAGAAGGAGCAGCCCUGAAACAAACACACUGAGAUUUGUAAGGAAAAUAAUUUGAGGUAAGAAAGUAUUUUUUUGGCUUCAAUUAUUUUUGCGAUAGCACUGCAAGCUUUGUACUUGCAUCAUUCAAACUUAAAUAAUUUUUAAUGAUUUUUAUGAUGCAAAUAUCUUUUAUACAAGUUGUGAGUGCUAAUAUUGUUGCGCUUAGCUGCAAGGUGAACUUGUUCACAGCCACUUCUCGAGCCCAGUUAACUAAUGCAUUGUGCGUUUGGAUUGGGUGAAAUGCACAGACCAGGAGUGGGGAACCUGAUCCAUGGAGAGCUGGUGCAGGUUUUUGGGAUGACCCCUCAAUCAGCCUAUAACAGUCCCCAGGACUGGAGCUGGGAAUCACUGUUUUAUUAUUGGCUGAUUCUGGAUCAGGUCCCCCAUCCCUGGCAUUAACUGUCCAUUAACAGCCCAUUAAGCUGGUACACUAGGAGGAGUUCAAUACACCUGUCACCACUGUGAUUCUGAUCGUGACUAACACUGCGCACACACACAUGCAAACAUCCAUACAUCCAUUUUCCAAACCGCUUAUCCUACUGGGUCGCGGGGGGUCCGGAGCCUAUCCCGGAAGCAAUGGGCACGAGGCAGGGAACAACCCAGGAUGGGGGGCCAGCCCAUCACAGGGCACACUCACACACCAUUCACUCACACAUGCACACCUAUGGGCAAUUUAGUAACUCCAAUUAGCUUCAGCACGUCUUUGGACUGCGGGGGGAAACCGGAGUACCCGGAAGAAACCCCACGACGACAUGGGGAGAAUAUGCAAACUCCACACACAUGUGACCCAGGCGGAGACUCGAACCUGGGACCCAGAAGGGUAAGGCAGCAAUGCUAACCACUGCACCACCAUGCCGCCCUCCACAUGCAAACAUGCACACUAUUAUUCAGUUAUUAAAACUGGUGCACAGUUGCAGAUUUUGUUUGGUUUUACUGUGAUCUUUGAUUUUAGUUGUGAUUAACAUACAUUAUGCAUCUAUGCAUACAUGCAUACGUACCCCCAAAUUUUGUUGAAUAAUAAAACCCACGUCAUUUAUAAUGUUACAACUAUCACUGACUAUGGGAAGAAUUGCAACAUUUCACUCCAUGUGUUUCAGGCUAAACCAUUCAUUGUCUGUCUGCGAUACAGAGAUUAAACCUGUGCUGUUUACUAGAAGACACGUGUAGGUAGUUUCUUUCAAAAUUUGAAUGUGAUUCCUAAAAGAACUCAGAGCUUCGGGCAAAAUGUAAAAAAAAACAUCCCUGGUCUGCCCUACAUAUGGACAAUUGCUGCUUCUUACAUUAGAGUUUUUGACAGUGAAUACCAGUGUUUACUUAAGAUUGAUAUUAGGGCUAGACAAGCAGUCAUAUAAAAUGUGGAUUGACUUACGGACAUUUGACUUGACUCUUCUUACUGAUAAAUUAAAAUUCCAUUAAAAAUUUACAAGUGGUUGGCAACCCUGAUAGCUGUGUUUGCACAUUGUAGCCACCAGCCACUUUGUGGUACCUGCAGCUGGUGGUUGGCCUAUAACAGUUGAAGUUGGCACAAGUCAUUGGGUUCUGACAACCUCAGCCUGUUUCUCAGAAUCCCUCUGCAGCUGGUGUGACAGUGAUAUUAGUUAUGAUUUAAAGAAGAAAUACACGCUGACCAUCACCAUCUUUCCAUCCCAGCAAUGCCUUAAUUUGGUAGGUUCUAGGUAUGUGUAAUUUUCAGAGUAAACUGAAUAUUUCCCUUAAUAUUACACAUUUCAUCUAGACUAACUAAGCCAAACAAUUCUAAUGGAAUAUGUAAAGCAUCCCUGUUUGUCAAGAAAAUAGUGGUGGUAACAGAAAUGCUCAUAUUAAUGCAUGUGCUUGUUUGCUGUAAUAUCUCUCAGGUCAUUGUGUACUUGACCCCAGAAUUUGGGCAUUAAAAUGAUCAGAUUCAGGGUUGUGAGGUGGUGUCCCUUUUGACAGCUCAUACCAGGGGUAAUGGGGGUGCAGGUUCCACCAGCCAUGCUAUCAUCUUCCUUUUGCUUCGCACUUUUCACAUGUCUAGUGUCAUCCCUUAUCCCUUGAACCACAACCCAGAGACCUACAGCUGGACAGCACUUCUUGUACUGCAGGGGUGUCCAAUCUUAUCUGCAAAGGGCCAGUGUGCAUGCAGGUUUUUGGGAUAACCUUUAAGUCAGCUGUUCAAACCCAGAUGUGAGGACUCUUCAGCCAAUCAGUCCUCUCUAAUUAGUAAUCUAAUUAGGGAAUUGCAGUGAAAAUCUGCAUGCACAAUGGCCCUUUCUGGAUAAGAUUGGCUGAAUAAUGUGUUGUCCUCUGGUCCAAUGGGCACCAAGUGGUACCUUGUGGGGACUUGACUUCAGAUAUCCCACCUUAGGGAUAUUGAUUUCAGGCAGGUAGAUGAGGGGUAUUCAGGAGGGCAGGGAUGCUGGCUAAUUUUUGGAUGCUAUUGUGAUAAUACCGUAUAUACAUUGACUGGGGUGGGAUUUUACCAUCACUGAAUAGUGGAACGACAGAUUUCCGGGAUGUUGCGUAUCAUUUAUGGGUGUGAGGAGGCUACUGUCAAUUUGCUUGGGACUUCAUUUCCCAUUUCCCCCAUUUCCCAGCACUGUCAUAACAAAAAUGUCAGGUGAUUGCCAUGCCCAACAUUCCCAACAUGUCUCAGGUAAUGCACUGAUCCAUGCUACCCACGUUUCUUCUUCUCAAAAUCCACAAGCGCCCCCUGCUGGAGGGGAGGCCCCUGAUCCAGUACUUCCCAAGGACCAUGAAAAACCCAGAAAUGGAGGUGGGGAGUAUUACCACACGGGUAUAACAGGGAGCAGCAGGUCCUUGUGGAUCAGAAGACUGCAGAGCAGUGUAUGCUAGGAUGCUAGCACCAGCUAUAUUGUUAGAGAUAUUAAGUGUUUUGUCCUUUCUUAGAACUACAUGGUGAUGUAAUAUUAAAUGGCAUUUUAGUUUGUGGUAUAUUUAGAAUGUUCUACAAAAUCUUUUUGGUAUUUUCAUAUAAAUGUUUAAAACAGAAGAUCUUUCCAUUGUUUAAAUAUAACCUAGGAAAAGUCGAUCUUUAUUAUUUUGUAUAAUGUAUGCCUUAUUUUGCUUAACAUUGGUGUUGUGAUACAGCACAGCAUGACAUUUUACAGUGAAUUCGGGGCCCCACUGAAUGACCUGGUAGCUAAUCAUAAUCCCCUUUUUCUGGUUCAGAAGUUGAAUGGACCCUAUGACUCUUUCUUGGAAUUCUCUGUCCAUGAUGUCUAUGAUCCAUUGUGCUCUGAAAGCAUGUAAGCCACAGUCCAUACGGAGUUGCUAGCACCCCAGGUCAGGUCUGAAGUCACCUCUUUCGGCUUUGAUGCACCAUACACGGUGCAAAAUAUACAUCCAAGACUAACGCAUCAGCUAAUGAUCUCUGCUCCACCCACUAGUCAUGGAAGGUUCAUUGUGACUUGAAUUCUGAUUCUAAUUAUUGAACCUGUACAUGAGGCUAGUAUGUGUUGCUUUUCCCCCAGCUUAACUAAGAGUGUCGUGCCCACUGGCCUACUGUGGUUACCAGGGAAACUGAGCUACUACCCGGCGUUACAUCAGCAACAAGCAGAUUGUCAAGCACAGUCGCCAUGGGGGUUGAAGUCUCUGGCUCUGUGUGUGGAGUUUGCACAUCGUGGGGGUUCCUCCGGGUUCUCUGGUUGCCCCCCCCCCCCCCCACAGUCCAAAAACACGCUAAGGUGAAUCAGAGUUGUCAGGUUGCAUGUAGGUGUGCAUGGUUUGUGUGCCCUGUGAUGGGUUGGUGUCCCAUCCUAGGUUAUUUCCUGCCUUGUGCCCAUAGUUUGUGGACCCCGCAACCCUGCAUAAGAUGGAUUUUUGAAUGCAAUUUUUACACUGUGGUCUGUGAUGGAUUGGAAUCCUGUCUUUACCCAACCCCCCCCAUCCCAUGACUAACAAAGUGAUCAUACCACUGGUGGGCCUUUAAGCCAAGUUGCUCCGGAGAGGCUAGUUGAAUUGGUUCUCAGAUCCUCAUUUAUUGUUAUGAGCAAAAGCAUCUCAUGAAUAAAUGUUGUACUUGCCUUGAAUUGUGUAUGUAAGUAUAUACUAUGUACCUCUGGAUAAGCAUCAGCACAUUUUCUGUUAUUCUUCUUUCUGUCACGAUCGGGAGCUGGUGUGUGAGUAUUUAGGCUCUGUCAGUGAAGUUGUUCAUACUUGGCCAGUCAACGGGAAGUAAGUAACGUAAGUACUGAUCACGGUUGUUACCUUGACUUAACAGCAACGCAAUGUUUCUACCCCAAAGUUAAUAUUCAUGUUUAUUAUUGAUAUCGGUGGAGUUUGAGGCUAAGGUGCAGUCUCAGGAGUAACACUAGAAUAUGCGCUUGUUGGUGUGUGUUGAAACGGAUUGGAUUUAGUGUGUUGGCUUGCGAGAGAUAGUACUUUUCUCUCAGGAAGUGUGUUUGGAAACGCUAAUAAGAAUCUGGUGAUGUGUGUUACCAAAAUACAUGUAAUGGCACAUAUGUGAUGUGCCCUUACAAACACCCACCCAGAAGUCAUUUGAAUAAGACAAGUUUCUUUUGGGGUAUCUGACUCGUCUGUGGCUUUCUGUUUGUUGCAUUAUGGGUGUAAAAGGUGUUUCAGAAAAGAUCCAUUAUGAUCUAUCUCCACACCAUGAAAACCAUGAUUUUAUAUGUGCCUGCUUCCUUUUCCUGUUGACCCGGGUUCUUUCCUGUGCAGGAUGAGGUGUGAAGCCACCCUGGAAAUCCAGAUGGAAUGAGUGUCAUCAUGCUGCUUUGCUCUGAACACCACAUUAAUGCUGUUGGGCCCAAAACUGGGCCUUUUACAUAUGCCGAUAUGUCCUCCUCAGUGGUGUUGCAGUCUGUCCCUUUGUUAUUGGUUACUUAUAUGUUAAUAAAGUUUGACAUGAUUGAAA
Molecule: long non-coding RNA, 5854 nt
Organism: Brienomyrus brachyistius
Lineage: Eukaryota; Metazoa; Chordata; Actinopteri; Osteoglossiformes; Mormyridae
Exons: 2
Source: RefSeq, a predicted model, not a curated record